Molecule: long non-coding RNA, 3556 nt
Filed under: Homo sapiens (human)
Lineage: Eukaryota; Metazoa; Chordata; Mammalia; Primates; Hominidae
Description: non-protein coding lnc-SGCG-6:3
Source: RNAcentral
GUGCUGCCCCCCUGCUCUGUCUGCACCGCAAGCUCACCUCCUGGCUCCGCGUUCGGUUCGGCACUUGGAACUGGAUCUGGCGACUGUGCCGGCGCGCCGCCUCUGCCGCGGUCCUAGCGCCGCUCGGCUUCACGCUCCGCAAGUCCCAGGCGUCUGCAGGAACCGCCAUCACCACCCGCACCCGCGCCGGGGGUCGUGCCUGCCCGCAGCCCACCACCAGGUGCGCUGGCGCGCGGACGGCCCUUCCCUGGAGAAGCUGCCUGUGCACAUGGGCCUGGUGAUCACCGAGGUGGAGCAGGAACCCAGCUUCUCGGACAUCGAGAGCCUCGUGGUGUGGUGUAUGGCCGUGGGCAUCUCCUACAUUAGCGUCUACGACCACCAAGGUAUUUUCAAAAGAAAUAAUUCCAGAUUGAUGGAUGGAAUUUUAAAACAACAGCAAGAACUUCUGGGCCUAGAUUGUUCAAAAUGCUCACCAGAGUUUGCAAAUAGUAAUGACAAAGAUGAUCAAGUUUUAAAUUGCCAUUUGGCAGUGAAGGUGCUAUUGCCGGAAGAUGGAAAAGCAGAUAUUGUGAGAGCCGCUCAGGACUUUUGCCAGUGAGUAGCCCAGAAGCAAAGGAGACCCACAGAUGUGGAUGUAGAUAUGUUAGUUUACUCAGUUCAAAUGGUUGUCCUGAUCCUGAUUUAGUACUGAAGUUCGGUCCUGUGGACAGCACACGAGGCUUUCUUCUCUGGCACAUCAGAUUGACUGAGAUUGUCUCUUUGCCUUCCCAUGUAAACAUCAGUUAUGGGGACUUUUUCUCUGCCCUUCGUCAUUAUGCAGCCUGUGAACAGCGUCUGGGAAAGUGGUGGUCAUUGGUUGCAUAAUUUGAUCUGAGGCUUAUGGAGGAAAGGACCCAAGUGACUCUGAUGUUUAGAAAGCACCUAUGAAACCCUGUACACACCUAGUUCAUAAUCCUCAUAAUUUAUCAACAAACACAAAGAAGUGUCUUACUUGAGAGUGAGUGUGUGCGUGUGUGCGUGCACACAUGUGCACGUUUGUAUGUGUGGAAAUAAACAUAAAUGGGGACGUGUUGGAGAAGGAAAUACAUAGACCUACAACUUUGAGCAUAUAGCAGUGAUGUUUUAGGAACUGAAAUGUCACACUUAAUAAAGUCUUCAGCCCAGCUACUUCCCUGUUUUCGUGGGGAGAAGGGGGCCUGAUUAGAACUGUUCUGGUUGUGUUUGGCGGGAGGGGAAUAAAUUUUGUUCAGUCCUUCUUAGUGACCAAACUUUAAUUUUUAGGAAUAACAUAUUGACUUACUGAACUGAAGCAUUCUGAGUUGAAAGGAGCCCCAGAGGAAAGGAGUUCUGUGUUGCUCACAUGUUAAAAGCUUGCUCACCUUCAGAGCAGAGGGAAUACCUAUCUUCAGAUAUCCGCCCAUUUUCAUCUCUUCAUUAUAGUCAAACAGUGUGACUUGAGAGUGUUGCUCUGGUGUCUGUAUUCUGGCUUAUGAAGAUUAUUUGAAAAAGAACUCUUACUACAUUGAAAUGCAGACUUUUAAAAAUUUAAAUAUUGGAUUAGGCAGUCAAAAAACCAAACAAGCAUAAAAGGUCAGUAAGUUGUAAUCUUAAAAGUAAAGGUGGAAAACUCAUUAUAAAUGGAAGAAAAGUUUUGAUUUCCUUUUUUGUUUGAUGGGCAGUAUGCCAUAUUAUAUCCAAAGUUGGUUUAAAAAAUACUUCCAUCAACUAUUUUUAUUUAAAAUAAACAUUUGAGGGAAGUUACCAAGGCAGCUUUUUUCCUCAAAAGUAACCUGUUCCUCUUUGGAACAGCACAUUUUAGGGGCAUGGUUAAUACCUGAGAUUUUUACUCAGUAAACCUGAUGGUUACCGUGUGUAAAAUAUCUUUAAGUAGGAUUGAAGGCCUCUGUGGGGAAUAUAAUGUUACCAAAGCCUAUAAAAAUAAAUUUUACAUGUUCUUUUUUAUGACAGAGAGCAGCACUGGUUCUGUUAUUUUUUAAAAUGAAUAACUGAUUUCUUGACAGGUGUUUAGUAUUUCUUCCCUCACUGCUGAUUCUUGGAUAGAAACCAUUCUUUGUAUUUGAUAGACUGUUUUCAGAAAACUCUUAUCAACAAGUGUACAAUAGUUAUCUAAAACUGUACAUUUAGAAUGGAGCAGUUUAAUACUAGAUCUCAGAAAUUUGAAAAAUAGCAAAGAAGAGUGGAUUUGGAAAGCAUGGUCUACAAUUGCUUGUCAAUUCUGAAGCUAUGAAGAAUAAAUGUUUCAGCUUUGGAUUAUGAAACCCCGUUUAUGAUUUUUAAAACACACUUGAAAUAAAAAUGAUUGAACUAAAUUUUGGUCCGGUGACAUCAUUUUGCACUGCAUAGCCCAUUAUACAUUGUAAGUCUUUUUGUUUUAAUUUAUUACUGAGAGUUUUCUGUGAAGCUACAGCAUAUCUAAUCAGAGAAUUUCUGAUUUGUUUCCUUAUACUGUGAUUAUGUUAUAUUAAGGCAUUUGUAGUGCAGCUUAAGACUGAAUUUAUGCUUUUUGUAAACAUGAUCGGUGUAAAUGUCUUAUAAACAUUCUGGAGUAUGUAUAACUUUAAUGAAUGAAAUUUAAUGGACCUGAUUAAAAUAAAGGGAUUUAAUCUUUGUUAAAGUGAAGUUAGUGGAAUAAAUUACCUACUGGAAUAUAGUCCAAGUCACUAAAGGUUUAAUAUUUGCAUUUUUGUGCUUUUAUUUUCUCCUUCCAUUCAUAAUUAUAUACUUGAAAGUACAUCUGUAGCCUAUGACUUGAGUCUCUUGAACUUCUAGGAAGAGGCAAACUACAAACUACUAGGAUUCUGAUUUCAGAUAUAGGCAUUCCAGAAUCUUCUCUUUACGAGUUCACCUGCUAGUAUAAUCUCCACAACUUGAAUGGCCUUGGUUGUUCUGUAAUUGCUGCCAAAAUCAUCACAAGCUGUACGUCAUCAAGGCUCCCUUUGCACUCCCAAGAAGAACUGUUCAUUUUAAACAAAAGUGUAUGUCUUUAUUUGUAUUGGAAAAUAUUGUCUUUAAAUUGUUUCUUGUUGACACUUCCCACAAUGGAAAAAUUACCAAAUUAAACCUGUUUUAUGGAUGGCAGCUUGGAGCAUAGCAAGAAGUUGGAGGAUUUGAAUUCCAUUCCCAGUUCUCAUUGCGUUUUGUUUCUUAAAACUAUAAUAAUUGGUUACUGUUAUAAAGUUUAAAAGGUGGUUUUAAUAUGAAUAGCAAAUUCUGGUAUAUUGUGACUAACGCUUAAGAAUGCCUGUCUUUGAGAGGAAGGUGUUAUAAUAUUAAUCAACAGUGCCAAAUACACUGUGCAUAUCUACAAUUUAAUCUUUGAAUGUUUGUUACUGGAUUAGCUCCCUCCUCCUUCUGUGUGAUGGUACCAUGCAUAGAGUCAAUCAAAUCCUUGUGAUGUUUUGUAUGGACUUUGACAACAUGUAACUAAUGUGUAAAGCAAGUUUUUAUGAUUAAGGAAUCAAAUUUAUUGAAUUUUAUUAUUGAAAGUUGAAACUUAACAUGUAUAAACAAAAAACAAUAAAAUAAUAAACUAUUU